UUAGACUUCUCAGAUGCAGACAAAUGUGUCGACUGCAUUAAAGGAAAAGUCGCAAAAACAAUUCAGAAAGGAGCAGUAAGAGCCACAGGGGUUUUAGAAUUAAUUCACACCGACAUAUGUGGACCCCUUAAUGUUAAGUCUGUAGAUGGUUUUGAUUCAUUCAUUACAUUCACAAACGACUUUUCCCGCUAUGGGUAUAUUUAUCCCAUACGUGACCGAUCGGAAGCUUUGGAGAAAUUCAAAGUCUAUAAAGCGGAGGUUGAAAAUCAACUGAACGUAAAAAUUAAAGUUGUACAGUCUGAUCGCGGGGGAGAGUAUUAUGGUAGGCAUGCUCCUUAUGGGCAGAUUCCUGGAACUUUUGCCAAGUUCUUAUCUGAAAAUGGAAUCAUUGCUCAGUACUCAAUGCCUGGUGAACCACAACAAAAUGGUGUGACCGAGCACCGCAACCGCACCCUUAUGGAUAUGGUGCGAAGCAUGCUUAGUCACUCGAGUUUACCAGUAAGCCUUUGGAUAGAGGCAUUAAAGACAGUUGCACACAUACUAAAUGUU
Molecule: ribosomal RNA, 549 nt
Filed under: Triticum aestivum (bread wheat)
Lineage: Eukaryota; Viridiplantae; Streptophyta; Magnoliopsida; Poales; Poaceae
Description: partial small subunit ribosomal RNA
Source: RNAcentral